Non-coding RNA from Glycine max (soybean), 83 nucleotides. The record is from Rfam. NCBI's taxonomy places the organism in Eukaryota, Viridiplantae, Streptophyta, Magnoliopsida, Fabales, Fabaceae.
UGCAAUCUGUGAUGACAUUUCAAUAAUGUGCUGAUUGUCUGUGAUUAUUAUCUAAAUAUCACCAUCUUUCGGCUGAGAUUGCA